UUUCACACUGUCAAGAAAAGCUUCUAUCGAGUUUAAAGGCGCCCGUACCGUAAACCGACACAGGUGGGUGAGGAGAGUAUCCUAAGGCCAGCGAGAGAACUAUUGUUAAGGAACUCGGCAAAAUGACCCCGUAACUUAGGGAGAAGGGGUGCCUGUCUAUGACAGGCCGCAGAGAAUAGGCCCAAGCGACUGUUUACCAAAAACACAGGUUUCUGCUAAGUCGCAAGACGAUGUAUAGGAGCUGACGCCUGCCCGGUGCUGGAAGGUUAAGGGGAUCUGUUAGAGCAAUCGAAGCAGUGAACUUAAGCCCCAGUAAACGGCGGCCGUAACGAUAACGGUCCUAAGGUAGCGAAAUUCCUUGUCGGGUAAGUUCCGACCCGCACGAAAGGCGUAACGAUUUGGGCACUGUCUCAACAAUAGACUCGGAAAAUUGUAAUCCCGGUGAAGAUGCCGGGUACCUGCGACGGGACGGAAAGACCCCAUGGAGCUUUACUGUAGCUUGACGUUGGGUCUUGGUACUACAUGUACAGGAUAGGUGGGAGACUAUGAAGCAUGGACGCCAGUCUGUGUGGAGUCAUCCUUGGGAUACCACCCUUGUAGUACUGGGAUCCUAACCAUAGGCCUUGAAUCAGGUCUUGGAACACCGUCAGGUGGGCAGUUUGACUGGGGCGGUCGCCUCCUAAAAAGUAACGGAGGCGCUCAAAGGUUUCCUCAGCACGGUCGGAAAUCGUGCGAAGAGUGUAAAGGCAAAAGGAAGCUUGAUUGCAAGACAUACAGGUCGAGCAAGGACGAAAGUCGGACUUAGUGAUCCGGUGGUACCGCAUGGAAGGGCCAUCGCUCAACGGAUAAAAGCUACCCUGGGGAUAACAGGCUUAUCUCCCCCAAGAGUCCACAUCGACGGGGAGGUUUGGCACCUCGAUGUCGGCUCAUCACAUCCUGGGGCUGUAGUAGGUCCCAAGGGUUGGGCUGUUCGCCCAUUAAAGUGGUACGCGAGCUGGGUUCAGAACGUCGUGAGACAGUUCGGUCCCUAUCCGUCGCAGGCGUAGGAAAUUUGAGAAGACCUGUCCUUAGUACGAGAGGACCGGGAUGGACGUACCUCUGGUGUACCAGUUGUUCUGCCAAGGGCAUGGCUGGGUAGCUAUGUACGGAAUGGAUAAGCGCUGAAAGCAUCUAAGCGCGAAGCCAACUUCAAGAUAAGAUUUCCCACCGUAAGGGUAAGACCCCAGGAAGACUACCUGGUUGAUAGGUCGAAGGUGUAAGUGCAGUAAUGUAUUUAGCUUAUCGAUACUAAUAGGUCGAGGACUUGAUCAA
RNAcentral lists this ribosomal RNA (1311 nucleotides) under metagenome. RNAcentral's name for it is "bacterial LSU rRNA". It matches the Rfam family "Bacterial large subunit ribosomal RNA", at positions 1598 to 2925 of the family's 2925-position model. The record is from RNAcentral.